GACGAACGCUGGCGGCGUGCUAAACACAUGCAAGUCGAACGGUGAAAGCGGAGCUUGCUCCGCUGGAUCAGUGGCGAACGGGUGAGUAACACGUGGGCAACCUGCCCCUCACUUCGGGAUAACUCCGGGAAACCGGGGCUAAUACCGGAUAUGACCUCCUUGGGCAUCCUUGGAGGUGGAAAGUUUUUCGGUGAGGGAUGGGCCCGCGGCCUAUCAGCUUGUUGGUGAGGUAGUGGCUCACCAAGGCGACGACGGGUAGCCGGCCUGAGAGGGCGACCGGCCAAACUGGGACAGGGACACGGCCCGGACUCCUACGGGAGGCAGCAGUGGGGAAUAUUGCGCAAUGGGCGAAAGCCUGACGCAGCAACGCCGCGUGCGGGAUGACGGCCUUCGGGUUGUAAACCGCUUUCAGCAGGGAAGAAGCCGCAAGGUGACGGUACCUGCAGAAGAAGCACCGGCUAACUACGUGCCAGCAGCCGCCGUAA
RNAcentral lists this ribosomal RNA (485 nucleotides) under uncultured bacterium. RNAcentral's name for it is "partial 16S ribosomal RNA". It matches the Rfam family "Bacterial small subunit ribosomal RNA", at positions 28 to 523 of the family's 1533-position model. The record is from RNAcentral.